Molecule: ribosomal RNA, 806 nt
Filed under: Bacillus sp. CLRIBB
Lineage: Bacteria; Bacillati; Bacillota; Bacilli; Caryophanales; Bacillaceae
Description: bacterial SSU rRNA
Rfam family: Bacterial small subunit ribosomal RNA
Source: RNAcentral
UAAAUGGUGGGUUUGCGGGGGCCCGCGGCAACCAUAUCAUGCAGUCGAGCGGACAGAUGGGAGCUUGCUCCCUGAUGUUAGCGGCGGACGGGUGAGUAACACGUGGGUAACCUGCCUGUAAGACUGGGAUAACUCCGGGAAACCGGGGCUAAUACCGGAUGGUUGUUUGAACCGCAUGGUUCAGACAUAAAAGGUGGCUUCGGCUACCACUUACAGAUGGACCCGCGGCGCAUUAGCUAGUUGGUGAGGUAACGGCUCACCAAGGCAACGAUGCGUAGCCGACCUGAGAGGGUGAUCGGCCACACUGGGACUGAGACACGGCCCAGACUCCUACGGGAGGCAGCAGUAGGGAAUCUUCCGCAAUGGACGAAAGUCUGACGGAGCAACGCCGCGUGAGUGAUGAAGGUUUUCGGAUCGUAAAGCUCUGUUGUUAGGGAAGAACAAGUGCCGUUCAAAUAGGGCGGCACCUUGACGGUACCUAACCAGAAAGCCACGGCUAACUACGUGCCAGCAGCCGCGGUAAUACGUAGGUGGCAAGCGUUGUCCGGAAUUAUUGGGCGUAAAGGGCUCGCAGGCGGUUUCUUAAGUCUGAUGUGAAAGCCCCCGGCUCAACCGGGGAGGGUCAUUGGAACUGGGGAACUUGAGUGCAGAAGAGGAGAGUGGAAUUCCACGUGUAGCGGUGAAAUGCGUAGAGAUGUGGAGGAACACCAGUGGCGAAAGGCGACUCUCUGGUCUGUAACUGACGCUGAGGAGCGAAAGCGUGGGGAGCGAACAGGAUUAGAUAUUGCGUCGUGGGUGAGAUAAAA